UCUGGGUCGGAUGGCUGUGCGCCGUGCUUCGUUCUCGGUCUGGUUCUUUCCGGGUCGGGUUUGUGAGUCGGUGUCGCGGUUGUUCGGUCUUUCUGGUGUCUGUGAAACAGAUGCCGACUUCUGUUGGCAUGCUCCCGUGUGCCCUUCAAUGGGUGUCGGGAGUGGACGGCAUGUUUACUUUGAACAAAUUUGAGUGCUCAAAGCAGGCCCAUGUGCCUGAAAAGUUUUGCAUGGAAUAAUGGAAUAGGACUUCGGUUCUAUUUUGUUGGUUUUCGGAUCCGAAGUAAUGG
This 290-nucleotide ribosomal RNA is filed under the name Pacificreadium serrani. Its description in RNAcentral is "partial 18S ribosomal RNA". The stretch from base 161 to 290 matches the Rfam family "Eukaryotic small subunit ribosomal RNA", at positions 738 to 868 of the family's 1831-position model. Lineage: Eukaryota; Metazoa; Platyhelminthes; Trematoda; Plagiorchiida; Opecoelidae. The record is from RNAcentral.